AUUGAACGCUGGCGGCAGGCCUAACACAUGCAAGUCGAGCGGAUGAAGGGAGCUUGCUUCUGGAUUCAGCGGCGGACGGGUGAGUAAUGCCUAGGAAUCUGCCUGGUAGUGGGGGAUAACGUCCGGAAACGGGCGCUAAUACCGCAUACGUCCUGAGGGAGAAAGUGGGGGAUCUUCGGACCUCACGCUAUCAGAUGAGCCUAGGUCGGAUUAGCUAGUUGGUGGGGUAAAGGCCUACCAAGGCGACGAUCCGUAACUGGUCUGAGAGGAUGAUCAGUCACACUGGAACUGAGACACGGUCCAGACUCCUACGGGAGGCAGCAGUGGGGAAUAUUGGACAAUGGGCGAAAGCCUGAUCCAGCCAUGCCGCGUGUGUGAAGAAGGUCUUCGGAUUGUAAAGCACUUUAAGUUGGGAGGAAGGGCAGUAAGUUAAUACCUUGCUGUUUUGACGUUACCAACAGAAUAAGCACCGGCUAACUUCG
This 482-nucleotide ribosomal RNA is filed under the name uncultured bacterium. RNAcentral's name for it is "partial 16S ribosomal RNA". It matches the Rfam family "Bacterial small subunit ribosomal RNA", at positions 30 to 505 of the family's 1533-position model. The record is from RNAcentral.